RNAcentral lists this ribosomal RNA (468 nucleotides) under uncultured bacterium. RNAcentral's name for it is "partial 16S ribosomal RNA". It matches the Rfam family "Bacterial small subunit ribosomal RNA", at positions 28 to 507 of the family's 1533-position model. The record is from RNAcentral.
GAUGAACGCUGGCGGCGUGCUUAACACAUGCAAGUCGAACGGAAAGGCCCAAGCUUGCUUGGGUACUCGAGUGGCGAACGGGUGAGUAACACGUGGGUGAUCUGCCCUGCACUUCGGGAUAAGCCUGGGAAACUGGGUCUAAUACUGGAUAGGACCACUUCUUGGAUGGUGUGGUGGAAAGUUUUUUCGGUGUGGGAUGAGCUCGCGGCCUAUCAGCUUGUUGGUGGGGUAAUGGCCUACCAAGGCGUCGACGGGUAGCCGGCCUGAGAGGGUGUACGGCCACAUUGGGGCUGAGAUACGGCCCAGACUCCUACGGGAGGCAGCAGUGGGGAAUAUUGCACAAUGGGCGCAAGCCUGAUGCAGCGACGCCGCGUGGGGGAUGACGGCCUUCGGGUUGUAAACUCCUUUCGCUAGGGACGAAGCGUUUUUGUGACGGUACCUGGAGAAGAAGCACCGGCUAACUACGUG